Acanthosepion pharaonis is the source of this 99-nucleotide non-coding RNA. Lineage: Eukaryota; Metazoa; Mollusca; Cephalopoda; Sepiida; Sepiidae. The record is from the annotation of a GenBank genome assembly.
GUUGAAACACGGCUUCUCGUACAAUCACCGAAGUUAAGCAACGUCGAACCUGGCCAGUACCUAGAUGGGUGACCGCUCGGAAAUGCUAGGUUCUGUAAG